GAUGAACGCUAGCUAUAGGCUUAACACAUGCAAGUCGAGGGGAAACGGCAUUAUGUGCUUGCACAUUUUGGACGUCGACCGGCGCACGGGUGAGUAUCGCGUAUCCAACCUGCCCUUUACUUGGGGAUACCCCGUUGAAAGACGGCCUAAUACCCGAUGUAAUUCAUUGAUGGCAUCAGAUAUGAAUAAAAGAUUUAUCGGUAAAGGAUGGGGAUGCGUCUGAUUAGCUUGUUGGUGAGGUAACGGCUCACCAAGGCGACGAUCAGUAGGGGUUCUGAGAGGAAGGUCCCCCACAUUGGAACUGAGACACGGUCCAAACUCCUACGGGAGGCAGCAGUGAGGAAUAUUGAUCAAUGGGCGCAAGCCUGAACCAGCCAAGUAGCGUGCAGGAAGACGGCCCUAUGGGUUGUAAACUGCUUUUAUACGAGAAUAAUUUGAUGCACGUGUGCGUUAUUGCAUGUAUCGUAUGAAUAAGGACCGGCUAAUUCCGUG
RNAcentral lists this ribosomal RNA (492 nucleotides) under uncultured bacterium. Its description in RNAcentral is "partial 16S ribosomal RNA". It matches the Rfam family "Bacterial small subunit ribosomal RNA", at positions 28 to 507 of the family's 1533-position model. The record is from RNAcentral.